This 173-nucleotide unclassified non-coding RNA is filed under the name uncultured Agaricomycetes. RNAcentral describes it as "sequence contains ITS1". Lineage: Eukaryota; Fungi; Basidiomycota; Agaricomycetes. The record is from RNAcentral.
AUGAAUCAGAGAGUUGAUGCUGGCAGUCUGACUGCAUGUGCUCGCUUUCUUAGUCCAUUCUACACCUGUGCACUUAAUAAUUCUAAUGGUAAGAUAAACUCUGCCUUUGGAACUUAUAUUAAACUCUUUGCUUUGGAAUAAUGUGUUUAUCUGCCGCAAGGCGAAAUAAAAUA